CGCCGCCGGAGACUCAACCUCGUGGACCCAAGAAGUGAGUCAACUCGGUCUCGGUCUCGGUCUCCUCGUCACCAGGGACGAGUCGGACUCAGUGAGACAACUCGGUCGAGAUCCCGCACUGAGAUGGUCACGCGGUUCAGACUCGUUCACACUCUCGGGCACCAACUCUGUUCGGAAUCGCAUAGUUUGGAACCCUCCACCCGGCUCAGACUCGGACGGAGAUUCAUCCUUGCAGACCCGAGAAGUGAGUCAACUCGGUCACGGUCACCUCGUCACCAGGGACUUGUCGGACUCAGUGUGCCAACUCGGUCGAGAUCCCGUGAUCAGUUCGCCUAAAUGGUUGGAGGAGUUUCUCGGGGAAUCAUCGAUCACUGUUGGUGCCGAUACAAUCGAAGUGAGCGAAGUGUUGAAAGAGGUGAGAGAAAGAGAUGAAGAGAGAGAUACCUUUCCAAUCCCAAUCCCAAAUCCAGAAUUACUCCAGAUCCCACUGAGUUCAUCUCACGGCUCAAACUUG
Molecule: long non-coding RNA, 514 nt
Filed under: Actinidia chinensis (golden kiwifruit)
Lineage: Eukaryota; Viridiplantae; Streptophyta; Magnoliopsida; Ericales; Actinidiaceae
Description: long non-coding RNA (ACHI_LNC006503)
Source: RNAcentral